RNAcentral lists this ribosomal RNA (954 nucleotides) under Proteus mirabilis. RNAcentral describes it as "partial 23S ribosomal RNA". It matches the Rfam family "Bacterial large subunit ribosomal RNA", at positions 1084 to 2022 of the family's 2925-position model. The record is from RNAcentral. Lineage: Bacteria; Pseudomonadati; Pseudomonadota; Gammaproteobacteria; Enterobacterales; Morganellaceae.
CUCAGACAGCCAGGAUGUUGGCUUAGAAGCAGCCAUCAUUUAAAGAAAGCGUAAUAGCUCACUGGUCGAGUCGGCCCGCGCGGAAGAUGUAACGGGGCUAAACCAUGCACCGAAGCUGCGGCAGCGACACGUAGUGUUGUUGGGUAGGGGAGCGUUCUGUAAGCCUGCGAAGGUGUACUGUGAGGUAUGCUGGAGGUAUCAGAAGUGCGAAUGCUGACAUAAGUAACGAUAAUGCGGGUGAAAAACCCGCACGCCGGAAGACCAAGGGUUCCUGUCCAACGUUAAUCGGGGCAGGGUGAGUCGACCCCUAAGGCGAGGCUGAAAAGCGUAGUCGAUGGGAAACGGGUUAAUAUUCCCGUACUGGUGGUAACUGCGAUGGGGGAACGGAGAAGGCUAGGUUGUCCGGGCGACGGUCGUCCCGGUUCAAGCAGGUAGGCAGAGUGAUUAGGCAAAUCCGGUCACUUAAUGCUGAGAUGUGAUGACGAACCACUAAGGUGGUGAAGCAAUUGAUGCCCCGCUUCCAGGAAAAGCCUCUAAGCUUCAGGUUACCAACAAUCGUACCCCAAACCGACACAGGUGGUCAGGUAGAGAAUACUCAGGCGCUUGAGAGAACUCGGGUGAAGGAACUAGGCAAAAUGGUGCCGUAACUUCGGGAGAAGGCACGCUGGCGGUAGGUAAAGUCCCUUGCGGACGGCGCUGAAGCCAGUCGAAGAUACCAGCUGGCUGCAACUGUUUAUUAAAAACACAGCACUGUGCAAACACGAAAGUGGACGUAUACGGUGUGACGCCUGCCCGGUGCUGGAAGGUUAAUUGAUGGGGUCAGCCGUAAGGCGAAGCUCCUGAUCGAAGCCCCAGUAAACGGCGGCCGUAACUAUAACGGUCCUAAGGUAGCGAAAUUCCUUGUCGGGUAAGUUCCGACCUGCACGAAUGGCGUAAUGAUGGCCAGGCUGUCUC